Molecule: long non-coding RNA, 1025 nt
Organism: Leopardus geoffroyi (Geoffroy's cat)
Lineage: Eukaryota; Metazoa; Chordata; Mammalia; Carnivora; Felidae
Exons: 3
Source: RefSeq, a predicted model, not a curated record
AUGUGGGUUAUGCAUAUAAUUUAUAAAUAAAUAUAUGCAUAUGUUGGUUAGUUUGCACGAACUUUGCUUUUCCUAGUGGGAGGCCGAGAUUCAGCCGUGGCUGAGAAUGACCAGGACGCUAGGGAGUGUUUCCAGAGGGAGGGACGGGAUCCAUUCGAGGCCACGUUGGAGUCUUGAGGCCUGGAGUCUCGAGGGAAGACUGAGCUUUGGUCCUGGCUGACUCAGGAGGGAGCCUGACCUGGGCCUGGGGCUGAGGGCAGGGAGGCGUAGGGAGGGGAGAAUGCCAGAAGUUCUGGACAAGGCAGGAGUGCACACUUUGGUAAUAGAUGGGAUGGGGCGGGGAGAGCUUGGGAGGUAACCAUGCUGUUGCCCAGGACCUGGUCCCUGUGACGAGGUCCGUCCAGGCUAGCUGGCCCCGAAGGCCCAGACACCGCGUCCUCCAGCCUUAUUCUCCUGCACAGCCCGUCUGAGCCAAAGAGAGCUCACAAUGUACGUCCUCAUGCCAGCAGCCAGUGGGGGGGUGGCCAAAGCCCCGUGUCCCAGGCCGCUGGGUCUGGAGGUCGCCCUGGCAACAGGCUGUGUUGUGAUGCUUCACAGAGCCAAGGGCUUGUUAGUCAGAGCCACACAGGAAGGUCCCCUCUGACCCUGGCAGGCCGGCAGGCCAAAUCUGGACACUCCUGGGAAUGGCCCAAUGACAGACCAUUGUCGGGCCUUGUUACCAGACCAGGAGAAGAGCAGCUGGCCAAAGGAGAGAGAGCAAAGAGAAAGUGCCGCAUGCCAACAGAGGAAGGGAAGGAACGAGCUGAGUUCCAGAGAAGUCACACGGCCAGAAUGCCCGCUCUGGGCCAGGCUUGGUGCCGACCAUGAGGAUUCCGUGGAAGCCACAACAGACAGGGCUCCUGCCGUCGAGGUGUUUAAGUGAUGCCAAGACCAUUCCCUAAGAGGGAGGAUGGCCUUUUCAACGAACGGUGCUGGGGCAGCUGGAUAUCCACGUGCGGAGGAAUGAAGUUGAUCCCCUAUCUCAC